UCGGAAUUACUGGGCGUAAAGCGUGCGUAGGCGGUUUAUUAAGUCAGAUGUGAAAGCCCCGGGCUUAACCUGGGAACUGCAUUUGAAACUGGUCAACUAGAGUAUGGUAGAGGAAAGUGGAAUUUCUGGUGUAGCGGUGAAAUGCGUAGAUAUCAGAAGGAACAUCAAUGGCGAAGGCAGCUUUCUGGACCAAUACUGACGCUGAGGUACGAAAGCGUGGGUAGCAAACAGGAUUAGAUACCCUGGUAGUCCACGCCGUAAACGAUGAUAACUAGCCGUUGGGGGGAUUUACCCUUUAGUGGCGAAGCUAACGCGUUAAGUUAUCCGCCUGGGGAGUACGGCCGCAAGGUUAAAACUCAAAGGAAUUGACGGGGACCCGCACAAGCGGUGGAGCAUGUGGUUUAAUUCGAUGCAACGCGAAGAACCUUACCUGGUCUUGACAUCCUGCGAACUUUCUAGAAAUAGAUUGGUGCCUUCGGGAACGCAGUGACAGGUGCUGCAUGGCUGUCGUCAGCUCGUGUCGUGAGAUGUUGGGUUAAGUCCCGUAACGAGCGCAACCCCUAUCCUUAUUUGCCAGCACGUCAUGGUGGGAACUAUAAGGAGACUGCCGGUGAUAAACCGGAGGAAGGCGGGGACGACGUCAAGUCAUCAUGGCCCUUACGACCAGGGCUACACACGUGCUACAAUGGGAAGGACAAAGAGCCGCGAAGCCGCGAGGUGUAGCUAAUCUCAGAAACCUUUUCGUAGUCCGGAUUGGAGUCUGCAACUCGACUCCAUGAAGUCGGAAUCGCUAGUAAUCGUAGAUCAGAAUGCUACGGUGAAUACGUUCCCGGGUCUUGUACACACCGCCCGUCAUACCAUGGGAGUGGGUUGCACCAGAAGUGGCUAGUCUAA
Molecule: ribosomal RNA, 894 nt
Filed under: uncultured prokaryote
Description: bacterial SSU rRNA
Rfam family: Bacterial small subunit ribosomal RNA
Source: RNAcentral